UAAUCAGUAAAGAUGAGGACAAGGCAAGAUGCCGAUUUCUCUACAGAGAAGGAUAUGUAUGCUGAAAGUAUCCUGUGAAAUGUCUCUUGUCACCACCUCGGAGCUCACAAACUGAAAACAGUAUGUUUGUGCGGUCGCUACGUUACAGCGCUCAAGAUACCGGAUACUUUCGGUAAAUAGGGUGGAACCGCGUGAAUAAGACUCUCGUCCCUUUG
This 215-nucleotide non-coding RNA is filed under the name Megasphaera sp. Its description in RNAcentral is "T-box sequence". It matches the Rfam family "T-box leader". From Rfam's summary of the family: Uncharged tRNA acts as the effector for transcription antitermination of genes in the T-box leader family. T-boxes are found upstream of many aminoacyl-tRNA synthetase genes and some amino acid biosynthetic genes usually in Gram-positive bacteria. The anticodon of a specific tRNA base pairs to a specifier sequence within the T-box motif, and the NCCA acceptor tail of the tRNA base pairs to a conserved bulge in the T-box antiterminator hairpin. The record is from RNAcentral. Lineage: Bacteria; Bacillati; Bacillota; Negativicutes; Veillonellales; Veillonellaceae.